GACGAACGCUGGCGGCGUGCUUAACACAUGCAAGUCGAACGGUGAAGGGACUGGUUUUGCUGGUCCUGGAUGAGUGGCGAACGGGUGAGUAACACGUGAGUAACCUGCCCCCUUCUUCUGGAUAACCGCAUGAAAGUGUGGCUAAUACGGGAUAUUCUGGGUCUGUCGCAUGGUGGGCCUGGGAAAGAUUGCGCCUUUUUUGGGGUUUUUGGUGGGGGAUGGGCUCGCGGCCUAUCAGCUUGUUGGUGGGGUGAUGGCGUACCAAGGCGGUGACGGGUAGCCCGCCUGAGAGGGUGGACGGUCACACUGGGACUGAGACACGGCCCAGACUCCUACGGGAGGCAGCAGUGGGGAAUAUUGCACAAUGGGCGCAAGCCUGAUGCAGCGACGCCGCGUGAGGGAUGGAGGCCGUCGGGUUGUGAACCUCUUUCGCCAGUGAAGCAGGCCUGCCUCUUUUUGUGGGUGGGUUGACGGUAGCUGGAUAAGAAGCGCCGGCUAACUACGUG
RNAcentral lists this ribosomal RNA (506 nucleotides) under uncultured bacterium. Its description in RNAcentral is "partial 16S ribosomal RNA". It matches the Rfam family "Bacterial small subunit ribosomal RNA", at positions 28 to 507 of the family's 1533-position model. The record is from RNAcentral.